AAAUUUUUCUUUCUUCUUUCUGGACUCUUUAAAGAAGUACAAGUAUUUGAGGAUAUAAUAUCUUUGCUUUUUAAAAGAAAGUUUGUUUAUACUCUCUAAGGCAGGAAAGUGGGCUCAAAGUUUUGGAUAAUGUUCGAAUAUGAGAAUUCAGAGUAAAGUUGUUUUCUUAAUAAACAAAAUAGUCCAAUUAUUUGAAGUCUUUCAUUUCCUAAGUGUUCUGAUGAGUCAUGGUUUUGACUGUAGCAAGUCAAACGAAGAGUGUAGACUGCUGACAGGGACCAUGGACUUUCCCAUGCUGACAUGGUAGGGACAGUGUCAGUGCUCGGACGUUCCCAUGCUGGGCUGUCCUUAUAAAGGAUAGUUUUCAAAUGUCCUUCACGUCAGAUUAACUUUAUUUGACCCUUCUCAAAGAGAUACUAAGAAGCAUAUAGAGGUUGAGAUAAUUGUAUUAAUAUUGACAUUAUGUUGCUUGAUUCAUCUGAAAUUUGAAUGUGUUGAGAAUCU
RNAcentral lists this long non-coding RNA (504 nucleotides) under Bos taurus (domestic cattle). RNAcentral describes it as "long non-coding RNA NONBTAT017480". Lineage: Eukaryota; Metazoa; Chordata; Mammalia; Artiodactyla; Bovidae. The record is from RNAcentral.